RNAcentral lists this ribosomal RNA (1534 nucleotides) under Bacteroides thetaiotaomicron. RNAcentral describes it as "bacterial SSU rRNA". It matches the Rfam family "Bacterial small subunit ribosomal RNA". The record is from RNAcentral. Lineage: Bacteria; Pseudomonadati; Bacteroidota; Bacteroidia; Bacteroidales; Bacteroidaceae.
CUUUUACAAUGAAGAGUUUGAUCCUGGCUCAGGAUGAACGCUAGCUACAGGCUUAACACAUGCAAGUCGAGGGGCAGCAUUUCAGUUUGCUUGCAAACUGGAGAUGGCGACCGGCGCACGGGUGAGUAACACGUAUCCAACCUGCCGAUAACUCGGGGAUAGCCUUUCGAAAGAAAGAUUAAUACCCGAUGGCAUAAUUAGACCGCAUGGUUUUAUUAUUAAAGAAUUUCGGUUAUCGAUGGGGAUGCGUUCCAUUAGGCAGUUGGUGAGGUAACGGCUCACCAAACCUUCGAUGGAUAGGGGUUCUGAGAGGAAGGUCCCCCACAUUGGAACUGAGACACGGUCCAAACUCCUACGGGAGGCAGCAGUGAGGAAUAUUGGUCAAUGGGCGCAGGCCUGAACCAGCCAAGUAGCGUGAAGGAUGACUGCCCUAUGGGUUGUAAACUUCUUUUAUAUGGGAAUAAAGUUUUCCACGUGUGGAAUUUUGUAUGUACCAUAUGAAUAAGGAUCGGCUAACUCCGUGCCAGCAGCCGCGGUAAUACGGAGGAUCCGAGCGUUAUCCGGAUUUAUUGGGUUUAAAGGGAGCGUAGGUGGACAGUUAAGUCAGUUGUGAAAGUUUGCGGCUCAACCGUAAAAUUGCAGUUGAUACUGGCUGUCUUGAGUACAGUAGAGGUGGGCGGAAUUCGUGGUGUAGCGGUGAAAUGCUUAGAUAUCACGAAGAACUCCGAUUGCGAAGGCAGCUCACUGGACUGCAACUGACACUGAUGCUCGAAAGUGUGGGUAUCAAACAGGAUUAGAUACCCUGGUAGUCCACACAGUAAACGAUGAAUACUCGCUGUUUGCGAUAUACAGUAAGCGGCCAAGCGAAAGCAUUAAGUAUUCCACCUGGGGAGUACGCCGGCAACGGUGAAACUCAAAGGAAUUGACGGGGGCCCGCACAAGCGGAGGAACAUGUGGUUUAAUUCGAUGAUACGCGAGGAACCUUACCCGGGCUUAAAUUGCAUUUGAAUAAUCUGGAAACAGGUUAGCCGCAAGGCAAAUGUGAAGGUGCUGCAUGGUUGUCGUCAGCUCGUGCCGUGAGGUGUCGGCUUAAGUGCCAUAACGAGCGCAACCCUUAUCUUUAGUUACUAACAGGUCAUGCUGAGGACUCUAGAGAGACUGCCGUCGUAAGAUGUGAGGAAGGUGGGGAUGACGUCAAAUCAGCACGGCCCUUACGUCCGGGGCUACACACGUGUUACAAUGGGGGGUACAGAAGGCAGCUACCUGGUGACAGGAUGCUAAUCCCAAAAGCCUCUCUCAGUUCGGAUCGAAGUCUGCAACCCGACUUCGUGAAGCUGGAUUCGCUAGUAAUCGCGCAUCAGCCAUGGCGCGGUGAAUACGUUCCCGGGCCUUGUACACACCGCCCGUCAAGCCAUGAAAGCCGGGGGUACCUGAAGUACGUAACCGCAAGGAGCGUCCUAGGGUAAAACUGGUAAUUGGGGCUAAGUCGUAACAAGGUAGCCGUACCGGAAGGUGCGGCUGGAACACCUCCUUU